GCGCUUUGUUCAGAUAAUGUCUUCGCUCUCGUCUUGAGGAGAAGAAGAAGAAGAAGAAGAAGAAGAAGAAGAGAAGACAGAUUUUUCAACGAAGAAGAAGAAGAAGAAGCAGAAGAAAGAAUGAUGAAGAA
RNAcentral lists this small RNA (131 nucleotides) under Arabidopsis thaliana (thale cress). RNAcentral's name for it is "ATSL178250". The record is from RNAcentral. Lineage: Eukaryota; Viridiplantae; Streptophyta; Magnoliopsida; Brassicales; Brassicaceae.